ACUGCCCUUCUCUUCCCUCUCCCUCUCUCGUUUCUCUUUCCCCACGAUCUCCAAACCUCGCCUCUCUCGAGUAAACGAAGACCCCAACUAUAACCACCUUUACUUCCAGAACAAACACAGAAGAAUCCCCGAUCUUCUUCUUCUCAUAUAUGGAUGUUUUUGGUAACAAAAUCGACUUCAUCUGAAAUCGGUCAAGGGUUUGCUCAAGUCACUGUGUUUUCAUUACUCUUUCUCUAGCAGAUGAAGAUUGAUUAACAAGAUGAAGGAUGCUGGAACUUCUAAAAGAUAUAGCUUCACGAACCCUAACUUUGUUUCUCUUCUUUGUUAUUUUAGAUGUUCAAUAUUUGUUCUUGAAUGGGUUUUUUUUACUCAAUUUUGAACCAGGGUUUUUUAAUUUUGGGAUAUGUUUUACUCGAUUUUAAGUUAUUCUAUCGAUUAUGAAAUUUGGGUUUCUGAACUAGGGAUUUUUACUCAGAUUUGUGUGAUUUGUUUAGUUGCCAGGAUUUGUUAAUUUGAUGUUUGAUUCUGUUUUGAGAAUCUAGGAUUUGUUUGGUUUAUGGAUUUUGCUGGAUUUGUGUUUAAUACUUUGAUGUGUAUGUAAGAUAAUUAUGUAGAUUCAUAGCUGCAAAAUUAACCUUUGUAUGACAACUGGGAAGAAACAUACAAUUGGGGGUGGGGGUGUUGGUGUUGGGAAUUUUACCUUGGAUUUGCUUAUUUAUGCACACAAAUAUUUAACACUAUCAAAUAUUUACCUUGGUAGUAACUACUGAGAUAAAGAAGCUAGGAAGCAGUUAUCCUUUCGUUCCGUAACUUUUCUUGUUUAAGUCCGUUAUUCGAUUUCUGAAUCAAAUAUGAGACCAAAUAAACGAGCCCGUUAGAAUCCUGCUCAAUUUUCGUUCUAUUAUGCUUUAAUUCGGGUGCAAUAGUUCAUAUCCUUGGGUUGUUGAUAACAUGACUACAACUGUUUUAAAGACUUAGCAGCAAAAUUAAUUUUGUGUUUGGUUUGGUUUGGUUUAAUUCAGAGAACAUGCAGUCAUGGAGAAGAUUAAAGAAGCACACGGGAGAGUGAUGGUGGCUAACCAUCCUCACAAGGGUGGGAGCAUGUAUCUUGCUAAAAAGAUCAACGAGGCUGAGGUACUUUUUAUGGAUGAGGGUCGAUUUCAAUUCUUUCCAUGUGAAGGUAGGACUGAUUGUUGAGCUAGAAGUCAUAGAACAAGUCAAGCUGGUGUUUUAUAAAACAAGAAGAAUAAUCAACCAAGAGGGAUCUAGUGAUGGCCUGUCUGAAGAAAUUUCUUUUAAGAUUCUGAAACAGGAAGUUAUAUCCAGAAAUGUAUUGGUUGAUGAAUGUUCAAGGCAGGUUGUCGAGGUGGAGCAAGCAGCCAUGUGGAAGUUUCUUUGGUGGUCGGGAAUCAUAGCUGUCCAUGUUAUGGUUGGCCAAAACAUAGAUGAUCACUCGAAACCUUUCUCCAGCACUUCCUCCUCAAGCCUUUGUCUUUUAUUUCCUUCUUGGUUUGCGGGAUGAGUUCAGCUUGUUGAUGUACUUUAUGCUGAGUGUUAGCAUUUGACUCUUUGUGAAGGAAGGACUCAUGCUGGUUGUUGCAACAAUCUGACAAGAUAUAUGCUGGAGCAUUUUGACAGUGAUUCAGUGAUUCGAAUCACAGUUUGAUUCUUCAAAAGACUAAACUUUGUGCUCCUGCACUUGCUCCAUUCGAGGCUUAUUACGAAGGAAACUUUUGGGGUGCCAAAACAAUCCCAAGGACAACAUGAGAUGCUUAACAUGCUGAAGCCAAGGCUCUUUUUGUAGCCACACUAUGGGUUAACGAGCUGGAACUGCAGUUUACUUCAAAGGGGACUGAAUCAUUCUGAAGAUGUAUGCUAUGCUAUCUAGUGUUCAAAUCACCAUAGUUAGUUAUUGCUGUUAUAGUGAUGUCUGUCAAGUUUUCUAGAUUUUUGGUGUAGUUAGUGUCAGUAUUAUUGGAAAAAAAAUAUUGUCUUUAGGUUCCUGUUAGUAUUAUUUUGUAACAUUUGAUAAGGUCUUAUUUGGAAUAAAAUUUCUGUUAAUUCUGGGUAAAUAAAUUUGCCUUUUUAUUAAAAAUAUAUCAAAUU
RNA transcript from Papaver somniferum (opium poppy), 2106 nucleotides. RefSeq lists it as uncharacterized. The transcript is spliced from 6 exons. The record is from RefSeq and is a predicted model, not a curated record. NCBI's taxonomy places the organism in Eukaryota, Viridiplantae, Streptophyta, Magnoliopsida, Ranunculales, Papaveraceae.